GGUAGUCUCGCACAGAUGCAUAUCAAUAAGCGGAGGAAAAGAAACUAACAAGGAUUCCCCUAGUAACGGCGAGUGAAGCGGGAAGAGCUCAAAUUUGAAAUCUUAAAGGGUUUCCCUUUACGAAUUGUAGUUUAAAGAAGUGUUUUCUGUUGAGGUUUUGGUAAAAGUUCUUUGGAAUAGGACAUCAUAGAGGGUGAGAAUCCCGUAUUUGACCUUUACUUUCAACUUUGUGAUACACUUUCAAAGAGUCGGAUUGUUUGGGAAUGCAGUCCAAAAUGGGUGGUAAAUUUCAUCUAAAGCUAAAUAUUGGCGAGAGACCGAUAGCGAACAAGUACCGUGAGGGAAAGAUGAAAAGAACUUUGAAAAGAGAGUUAAACAGUACGCGAAAUUGUCAAAAGGGAAGCGUUUGACACCAGUGUUGUUUUUCUGAAAAUCAAUUAAAGAACUGUUUAUGCUAAGUUGUUUAGACUUUAUCAGCUAACUGUUUAGUUUUGAGCUUUUCUUUAAUGCACUUUUCAGUUAACAAGUCAACAUCAAUUUCUUUUGCUGUAAAAAAGCUUGAGGAAGGUGGCUUGAGAUUCGUCUUAAGUGUUUAUAGCCUCUUGCCUAUGCAGUCGGAGAGAUUGAGGUCUGCAGCGUAGAUCCUUCGGGGCUAAAUGCAUUUGUGCUAAGUUAUAGCAUUUUAUAGACAACUUGUUGACUAUGAUUUGUCUUGUAGCUUACUCGCUUAUGUUAUUUUACCUACGCUUAGGAUGUUGAUGUGAUACUGCGAGCA
This 775-nucleotide ribosomal RNA is filed under the name uncultured Neocallimastigales. Its description in RNAcentral is "partial large subunit ribosomal RNA". It matches the Rfam family "Eukaryotic large subunit ribosomal RNA", at positions 24 to 646 of the family's 3401-position model. Lineage: Eukaryota; Fungi; Neocallimastigomycota; Neocallimastigomycetes; Neocallimastigales. The record is from RNAcentral.